Molecule: ribosomal RNA, 253 nt
Filed under: uncultured bacterium
Lineage: Bacteria
Description: partial 16S ribosomal RNA
Rfam family: Bacterial small subunit ribosomal RNA
Source: RNAcentral
UACGUAGGGGGCAAGCGUUGUCCGGAUUUAUUGGGCGUAAAGAGCGUGUAGGCGGCUUGACAGGUCUGCUGUGAAAACUCGAGGCUCAACCUCGAGAUGUCGGCGGAACCCGUCUGGCUAGAGUCCGGAAGAGGAGAGUGGAAUUCCUGGUGUAGCGGUGAAAUGCGCAGAUAUCAGGAAGAACACCUAUGGCGAAGGCAGCUCUCUGGGACGGUACUGACGCUGAGACGCGAAAGCGUGGGGAGCGAACAGG